ACGGCUCAGUAACACGUGGACAACCUACCCAAGAGUCAGGGAUAACCCCGGGAAACUGGGGAUAAUACCUGAUAGGCCACGACAUCUGGAAUGAGUCGUGGUUUAAACGUAAGGCUCUUGGAUGGGUCUGCGGCGGAUUAGGUUGUUGCCGGUGUAACGUACCAGCAAGCCUGUAAUCCGUACGGGUUGUGGGAGCAAGAGCCCGGAGAUGGAUUCUGAGACACGAAUCCAGGCCCUACGGGGCGCAGCAGGCGCGAAAACUCUACAAUGCAGGCAACUGCGAUAGGGGAACAUCGAGUGGCACCCACCAUGGGUGUCUGUCCAGCCGUCUAAAAAACGGCUGUUAGCAAGGGCCGGGCAAGACCGGUGCCAGCCGCCGCGGUAAUACCGGCGGCUCGAGUGGUGGCCGAUAUUAUUGAGUCUAAAGGGUCCGUAGCCGGCUUUGCAAGUCCCCUGGGAAAUCCAGCGGCUUAACCGUUGGGCUUUCAUGGGAUACUACAUUGCUUGGGACUGGGAGAGGUAGGAGGUACUCAGGGGGUAGGGGUGAAAUCCUGUAAUCCUCUGGGGACCACCGGUGGCGAAGGCGUCCUACCAGAACAGGUCCGACGGUGAGGGACGAAAGCUAGGGGCACGAACCGGAUUAGAUACCCGGGUAGUCCUAGCCGUAAACGAUGCUCGCUAGGUGUCACGGCAGUCGUGAAUUGUCGUGGUGCCGUAGGGAAGCCGUGAAGCGAGCCACUUGGGAAGUACGACCGCAAGGUUGAAACUUAAAGGAAUUGGCGGGGGAGCAC
This 791-nucleotide ribosomal RNA is filed under the name uncultured Methanocellaceae archaeon. RNAcentral's name for it is "bacterial SSU rRNA". It matches the Rfam family "Archaeal small subunit ribosomal RNA", at positions 85 to 879 of the family's 1478-position model. Lineage: Archaea; Methanobacteriati; Methanobacteriota; Methanomicrobia; Methanocellales; Methanocellaceae. The record is from RNAcentral.